This 507-nucleotide ribosomal RNA is filed under the name uncultured bacterium. Its description in RNAcentral is "partial 16S ribosomal RNA". The record is from RNAcentral.
GGAGUUAGCCGGUGCUUCUUCUGUGAGUGAUGUCCUUCCUGCCGGCUAUUAACCCGCAGGCCUUCUUCCUCACUGAAAGUGCUUUACAACCCGAAGGCCUUCUUCACACACGCGGCAUGGCUGGAUCAGGGUUGCCCCCAUUGUCCAAUAUUCCCCAAUGCUGCCUCCCGUAGGAGUCUGGGCCGUGUCUCAGUCCCAGUGUGGCUGAUCAUCCUCUCAGACCAGCUACGGAUCGUCGCCUUGGUGAGCCGUUACCUCACCAACCAGCUAAUCCGACAUAGGCUCAUCCGAUAGCGCGAGGCCCGAAGGUCCCCCGCUUUCCCCCGUAGGGCGUAUGCGGUAUUAGCCUGGGUUUCCCCAGGUUAUCCCCCACUACCGGGCAGAUUCCUAUGCAUUACUCACCCGUCCGCCGCUCGCCACCAGGGAGCAAGCUCCCCGUGCUGCCGCUCGACUUGCAUGUGUUAGGCCUGCCGCCAGCGUUCAAUCUGAGCCAGAAUCAAACUCUGA